GACGAACGCUGGCGGCGUGCUUAACACAUGCAAGUCGAACGGAAAGGCCCUGCUUGCAGGGUGCUCGAGUGGCGAACGGGUGAGUAACACGUGGGUGAUCUGCCCCUUACUUUGGGAUAAGCCUGGGAAACUGGGUCUAAUACUGGAUAGGACCAUGCUGUAGGUGGUGUGGUGGAAAGAUUAGUUUCGGUAAGGGAUGAGCUCGCGGCCUAUCAGCUUGUUGGUGGGGUAAUGGCCUACCAAGGCGUCGACGGGUAGCCGGCCUGAGAGGGUGGACGGCCACAUUGGGACUGAGAUACGGCCCAGACUCCUACGGGAGGCAGCAGUGGGGAAUAUUGCACAAUGGGCGCAAGCCUGAUGCAGCGACGCCGCGUGGGGGAUGACGGCCUUCGGGCUGUAAACUCCUUUCAGCCAUGACGAAGCCCUUGUGGUGACGGUAGUGGUAGAAGAAGCACCAGCUAACUACGUG
This 469-nucleotide ribosomal RNA is filed under the name uncultured bacterium. RNAcentral's name for it is "partial 16S ribosomal RNA". It matches the Rfam family "Bacterial small subunit ribosomal RNA", at positions 28 to 507 of the family's 1533-position model. The record is from RNAcentral.